AGAAAGCUGAAUCCAAGGAAGAACAGAAAAAGUUAACUGAGUUAUCCAGUGGCCUCUUCCAUCAGAAAAUACCAGAUACAAGACUCUGGAGGCAAGAAGCCUGUGAUGUGCAUUCUUCUGUCCAAAAGUUUUAUGCCCCUAUCUCCAGAGGUCAUCAUACUGCUUCCGUUACAAACCAGAACUUUCCUGGGGGCGAAACAAUGCUCUAUCAAGAUUCGGACAACUUUCAUUCCACGGUACUGUAAAGGAUCUUGCACCUGCGUAGAUGGCAUAAAAACAGUCCUGAGUUCCCAGGUGGCAAACAAUACCAACUUUUCUUCCUCCUGAUGAUUUCCAGAAGUGAACUAAGGAAAUCCAGAACAUACUGCCUUCUUAGGAAACAUGAUGCCAGAGUUACUAGAAAAAAGAUGAACAGCAAGUCAAAGUGAUUAUUUGAUGUCAUGUAAAAAAAGUUGUCUUGAGUUUAUUACAACAUUUAACAAUUGACUAUGGC
This 493-nucleotide long non-coding RNA is filed under the name Capra hircus (goat). RNAcentral's name for it is "lncRNA (ENSCHIG00000007432.1)". The record is from RNAcentral. Lineage: Eukaryota; Metazoa; Chordata; Mammalia; Artiodactyla; Bovidae.